CCUACGGGUGGCAGCAGUGAGGAAUAUUGGUCAAUGGGCGGUAGCCUGAACCAGCCAAGUAGCGUGAAGGAUGACGGCACUGUGUGUUGUAAACCUCUUUUAUCUGGGAAUAAAGUCCAGGAUUUAUACUGCGUUGCAUGUACCUGAUGAAUAAGGAUCGGCUAACUCCGUGCCAGCAGCCGCGGUAAUACGGAGGAUCCGAGCGUUAUCCGGAUUUAUUGGGUUUAAAGGGAGCGUAGGCGGGUUGUUAAGUCAGUUGUGAAAGUUUGCGGCUCAACCCUAAGAUUGCAGUUGAUACUGGCAUCCUUGAGUACAGUAGAGGUAGGCGGAAUUCGUGGUGUAGCGGUGAAAUGCUUAGAUAUCACGCAGAACCCCGAUUGCGAAGGCAGCCUGCUGGCCUGUAACUGACGCUGAUGCACGAAAGUGUGGGUAUCAAACAGGAUUAGAUACCCCUGUAGUC
Molecule: ribosomal RNA, 460 nt
Filed under: uncultured bacterium
Lineage: Bacteria
Description: partial 16S ribosomal RNA
Rfam family: Bacterial small subunit ribosomal RNA
Source: RNAcentral